AGUGAACGCUGGCGGUAGGCCUAACACAUGCAAGUCGAACGGCAGCACAGGAGAGCUUGCUCUCUGGGUGGCGAGUGGCGGACGGGUGAGGAAUACAUCGGAAUCUACUCUGUCGUGGGGGAUAACGUAGGGAAACUUACGCUAAUACCGCAUACGACCUACGGGUGAAAGCAGGGGAUCUUCGGACCUUGCGCGAUUGAAUGAGCCGAUGUCGGAUUAGCUGGUUGGCGGGGUAAAGGCCCACCAAGGCGACGAUCCGUAGCUGGUCUGAGAGGAUAGUCAGCCACACUGGAACUGAGACACGGUCCAGACUCCUACGGGAGGCAGCAGUGGGGAAUAUUGGACAAUGGGCGCAAGCCUGAUCCAGCCAUACCGCGUGGGUGAAGAAGGCCUUCGGGUUGUAAAGCCCUUUUGUUGGGAAAGAAAUCCAGCUGGCUAAUACCCGGUUGGGAUGACGGUACCCAAAGAAUAAGCACCGGCUAACUUCGUGCCAGCCGCCGCCGUAA
RNAcentral lists this ribosomal RNA (506 nucleotides) under uncultured bacterium. RNAcentral describes it as "partial 16S ribosomal RNA". It matches the Rfam family "Bacterial small subunit ribosomal RNA", at positions 29 to 523 of the family's 1533-position model. The record is from RNAcentral.